UGGUGGACAGGCGACGAGCGUUCUUUGGUAGCCGCUCCGGUAGAAUAGCAAGCUAUCAGUGGUACUCUGUUUGUUUGGAUCAGAGGAAGCUCACGCAGAGGUCGGAGAGGGUGAAUUCCGUGGAUCUGCAUACGACAUAGCCAUGGGGAAACAAUGGAUGGAUAGAUCAUCAAGGUUCAGGUCUUCAGA
This is a long non-coding RNA of Zea mays, 189 nucleotides long. RefSeq lists it as uncharacterized. The transcript is spliced from 3 exons. The record is from RefSeq and is a predicted model, not a curated record. Lineage: Eukaryota; Viridiplantae; Streptophyta; Magnoliopsida; Poales; Poaceae.